CCAUCCCAUUUCCUCUUUUCCUUUAACCAAGCACUAGAAAAACUUCAUCUCAUCAUAGAACACCCCUACCACACCAAACUCACCCUCUAACAACCUAACGAAAUUAUGCAUAUUUUUAAACAGAGCUCAUAGUAAGCCUACUUUCCUCCAAACAGAUCCCAUAUAUAGUAGGCCAAAAAACUUCCUAUAUACUAGUUUCCUAAUUGUUAAGUUUAACUUUUUUUAUUUAUAUAAGCACCAUAUA
This 244-nucleotide long non-coding RNA is filed under the name Sorghum bicolor (sorghum). RNAcentral's name for it is "long non-coding RNA (SBIC_LNC007747)". Lineage: Eukaryota; Viridiplantae; Streptophyta; Magnoliopsida; Poales; Poaceae. The record is from RNAcentral.